GGGGCUGUAGCUCAGUUGGGAGAGCGCUUGAAUGGCAUUCAAGAGGUCAGGGGUUCAACUCCCCUCAGCUCCA
Molecule: transfer RNA, 73 nt
Filed under: Fidelibacterota bacterium
Lineage: Bacteria; Pseudomonadati; Fidelibacterota
Description: tRNA-Ala
Rfam family: tRNA
About the family: Transfer RNA (tRNA) molecules are approximately 80 nucleotides in length. Their secondary structure includes four short double-helical elements and three loops (D, anti-codon, and T loops).
Source: RNAcentral